UAUACAUGCAGUCGAGCGGACAGAUGGGAGCUUGCUCCCUGAUGUUAGCGGCGGACGGGUGAGUAACACGUGGGUAACCUGCCUGUAAGACUGGGAUAACUCCGGGAAACCGGGGCUAAUACCGGAUGGUUGUUUGAACCGCAUGGUUCAGACAUAAAAGGUGGCUUCGGCUACCACUUACAGAUGGACCCGCGGCGCAUUAGCUAGUUGGUGAGGUAACGGCUCACCAAGGCGACGAUGCGUAGCCGACCUGAGAGGGUGAUCGGCCACACUGGGACUGAGACACGGCCCAGACUCCUACGGGAGGCAGCAGUAGGGAAUCUUCCGCAAUGGACGAAAGUCUGACGGAGCAACGCCGCGUGAGUGAUGAAGGUUUUCGGAUCGUAAAGCUCUGUUGUUAGGGAAGAACAAGUGCCGUUCAAAUAGGGCGGCACCUUGACGGUACCUAACCAGAAAGCCACGGCUAACUACGUGCCAGCAGCCGCGGUAAUACGUAGGUGGCAAGCGUUGUCCGGAAUUAUUGGGCGUAAAGGGCUCGCAGGCGGUUUCUUAAGUCUGAUGUGAAAGCCCCCGGCUCAACCGGGGAGGGUCAUUGGAAACUGGGGAACUUGAGUGCAGAAGAGGAGAGUGGAAUUCCACGUGUAGCGGUGAAAUGCGUAGAGAUGUGGAGGAACACCAGUGGCGAAGGCGACUCUCUGGUCUGUAACUGACGCUGAGGAGCGAAAGCGUGGGGAGCGAACAGGAUUAGAUACCCUGGUAGUCCACGGAG
This 769-nucleotide ribosomal RNA is filed under the name Bacillus velezensis. Its description in RNAcentral is "bacterial SSU rRNA". It matches the Rfam family "Bacterial small subunit ribosomal RNA", at positions 50 to 802 of the family's 1533-position model. The record is from RNAcentral. Lineage: Bacteria; Bacillati; Bacillota; Bacilli; Caryophanales; Bacillaceae.